ACCGGCGCACGGGUGCGCACCGCGUAUGGACCUACCUUUUACAGGGGAAUAGCCCAGGGAAACUUGGAUUAAUGCCCCGUGGUGUGGCAUCACUAAAGCCUUCGGGCGGUAGAAGAUGGCCAUGCGUCCCAUUAGUUUGUUGGUAAGGUAACGGCUUACCAAGACUACGAUGGGUAGGGGCCCUGAGAGGGGGAUCCCCCACACUGGUACUGAGACACGGACCAGACUCCUACGGGAGGCAGCAGUGAGGAAUAUUGGACAAUGGAGGAGACUCUGAUCCAGCCAUGCCGCGUGCAGGAAGAAUGCCUAUGGGUAGUAAACUGCUUUUAUACAGGAAGAAAAAGGGGCACGUGUGCCCUACUGACGGUACUGUAAGAAUAAGGACCGGCUAACUCCGUGCCAGCAGCCGCGGUAAUACGGAGGGUCCGAGCGUUAUCCGGAAUUAUUGGGUUUAAAGGGUCCGUAGGCGGGCGAUUAAGUCAGUGGUGAAAGUCUGUAGCUCAACUAUAGAAUUGCCUUUGAUACUGAUUGUCUUGAGUUAUAGUGAAGUUGCCGGAAUAUGUAGUGUAGCGGUGAAAUGCAUAGAUAUUACAUAGAACACCGAUUGCGAAGGCAGGUGACUAACUAUAUACUGACGCUGAAUGACGAAGCGUGAGGAGCGAACAGGAUUAGAUACCCUGAUAGUUCACGGGC
This 693-nucleotide ribosomal RNA is filed under the name uncultured bacterium. RNAcentral describes it as "bacterial SSU rRNA". It matches the Rfam family "Bacterial small subunit ribosomal RNA", at positions 94 to 802 of the family's 1533-position model. The record is from RNAcentral.